UAUAUUAUGUUAUUUUGACUUGUUCCAGUGAUUGGUUGGAACAUUUGUUUUGAUUUUUGGUGCAUUCUAUAUCCAGUGGUGUGACAACUUGUUUCUCGCCCUGUAAUUGGAUCUACUUGAAUAUAAGAAUAAAUUAUUAUUAUUAUUAUGUAAUCUUUUCAAGUUGUAAUCAAGUUUAAUUGUCAUAGAAUUAUGGGAUCUGAAGAUCACAACCACUAUGUGGCUCUGCUAUCAAUUUGGGAUUCCUGUAGAUUAAAUAAUGAAAAUGAAUGUGUUAAUUUUCUUAAUUUUCCUCAGGAUCUGCAGCUGAAUCCUGUGGUAAUAAACUAAAACAAGACUGCUAACUACCCAGUACUAAUAAGCAAAUUAUUUUUGCCUGAAAUAUAUGGUAAAUACUGGCUUCAAAUUUUAGGUCAAUGUGAAAGAUGAGAGGUUUUCUGCACUUUUCUCUUCGCAUCAUUUCAACAUAGACCCUACUGACUCUCAUUACCAUGAAACCAAAGGAAUGGAGGCUUUCAGGGCUGAGAAAUUAUAUCGAAGACAGUGUUCGAUGAAUGACAUUCCAAAUGGGUUACCAGCUAAAAUUCAGAAGAUGGACACAGUUUCUGGCAGGGAUCCUGAAUUAUCGUUGCUUGUUAAAGCAGUUAAAAGAAAAACACAAAGUUUGCAUAAAGGAGGAAGGUAAUAGUUUUAAGAAAAUGUUUUUGUUGCAAACAAAACAUUUAUUACCAGCCA
Molecule: long non-coding RNA, 735 nt
Organism: Cryptotermes secundus
Lineage: Eukaryota; Metazoa; Arthropoda; Insecta; Blattodea; Kalotermitidae
Exons: 2
Source: RefSeq, a predicted model, not a curated record